This 595-nucleotide long non-coding RNA is filed under the name Phoenix dactylifera (date palm). RNAcentral's name for it is "long non-coding RNA (PDAC_LNC020972)". Lineage: Eukaryota; Viridiplantae; Streptophyta; Magnoliopsida; Arecales; Arecaceae. The record is from RNAcentral.
CCGACCCCAAGUAUACAUUGCUCAAAAACCAUGUCUCUGGAAUUCUUGAGAGGGUCGACCCCACUGUAGCUUGAGUCGACCCUACUGUAGCUUGAGUCGACCCUAAGAAAGGUUGAGUCGACCCUAGUGAAAGAAGCUGAAAAUACAAGUUUCUGUGGUUACUGAGAGGGUCGACCCUAGAGGAAGUUGAGUCGACCCCAAGCCCAAUACACAGUAAGUUGAGUCGACCCUAGUAAAGUUUGGGUCGACCCCAGCACGAGCAAGGGCAUAACGGCUAGUUCUGCAGAAGUACCUUUUGACCUCCCAACAGCUAGUAAAGGCUAGUUUUUAAAAUCUAACCAAUAGGGGGUGACCAAUAGAUAAGGAAAAGUAUUUAAAGUGACACUAUUCAUCAGAGGAAUAUACACUUUUGCAAAAAGAUCAAAGCUCAUUCAAGAAAGAAAAAGUCCUAACAUUCUUCAUUCAAGUGCUUCAUUCAAAGAGCCAAAAGGAAGUGGUUGAGCAGAUUCUGAGAGACAUUAAGAGCUCCACCAAUCCUUGAAGAGUGAAGAAAUCUUAACAAAGAAGAGAAAAGUCUUAUCAAAGCGAUAACUAU